CAAAUGUACUUAGUCAUAAUUAUUUUUAAUACAAGCCUGUGCUUGUAUGUGUGUGUAUAUUCAUAAAACUGCCAUUCAUAUUCCUUACAAAAGAAUUUCCUUGAUUUAUUGUUGCUAUAGUCAGGUGAUUUCCGUGUCCGUUUUUCUUUGUCUAGUCAACAGACUUUCACGAAACACCAUAUAUGUGGCAAGCCUAUGCUUGAGGAGGAUAUAGGUAAAUUAGAUAUAGUCUGAUUUAGUGGGAAGGACAAAUGUAUAUGCAAAUAAUUACCAUAGAGCUACAUGAUCCAACCUCAUAGCCAUUAGCCA
RNAcentral lists this long non-coding RNA (309 nucleotides) under Bos taurus (domestic cattle). RNAcentral describes it as "long non-coding RNA NONBTAT007380". The record is from RNAcentral. Lineage: Eukaryota; Metazoa; Chordata; Mammalia; Artiodactyla; Bovidae.